Molecule: ribosomal RNA, 497 nt
Filed under: uncultured bacterium
Lineage: Bacteria
Description: partial 16S ribosomal RNA
Rfam family: Bacterial small subunit ribosomal RNA
Source: RNAcentral
GAUGAACGCUGGCGGCGUGCCUAAUACAUGCAAGUCGAGCGAACAGACGAGGAGCUUGCUCCUCUGACGUUAGCGGCGGACGGGUGAGUAACACGUGGAUAACCUACCUAUAAGACUGGGAUAACUUCGGGAAACCGGAGCUAAUACCGGAUAAUAUAUUGAACCGCAUGGUUCAAUAGUGAAAGACGGUUUUGCUGUCACUUAUAGAUGGAUCCGCGCCGCAUUAGCUAGUUGGUAAGGUAACGGCUUACCAAGGCAACGAUGCGUAGCCGACCUGAGAGCGAGAUGGGACACAUUGGACUAGAGACACGGUCCAGACUCCGAAGGGAGGAUGCAGUAGAGAGUCUUACGCAAUGGGCGAGAGGUUGAGGGAGCAACUCGGUGCUAGUCAUGAAGGUAUUCGGAUCCGAAAUGUCUAUUAUUAGGGAAGAACAAAUGGGUAAGUAACUAUGCACGUCUUAACGGUACCUAAUCAGAAUGCCACGGCUAACUACGUG